RNAcentral lists this ribosomal RNA (1455 nucleotides) under Salmonella enterica. Its description in RNAcentral is "partial 23S ribosomal RNA". It matches the Rfam family "Bacterial large subunit ribosomal RNA", at positions 1292 to 2730 of the family's 2925-position model. RNAcentral also lists the same sequence under 1 other name. Lineage: Bacteria; Pseudomonadati; Pseudomonadota; Gammaproteobacteria; Enterobacterales; Enterobacteriaceae. The record is from RNAcentral.
GAAUGCUGACAUAAGUAACGAUAAAGCGGGUGAAAAGCCCGCUCGCCGGAAGACCAAGGGUUCCUGUCCAACGUUAAUCGGGGCAGGGUGAGUCGACCCCUAAGGCGAGGCCGAAAGGCGUAGUCGAUGGGAAACGGGUUAAUAUUCCCGUACUUGGUGUUACUGCGAAGGGGGGACGGAGAAGGCUAUGUUGGCCGGGCGACGGUUGUCCCGGUUUAAGCGUGUAGGUGUGUGUUCCAGGUAAAUCCGGUUCACUUUAACACUGAGGCGUGACGACGAGGCACUACGGUGCUGAAGCAACAAAUGCCCUGCUUCCAGGAAAAGCCUCUAAGCAUCAGGUAACAUCAAAUCGUACCCCAAACCGACACAGGUGGUCAGGUAGAGAAUACCAAGGCGCUUGAGAGAACUCGGGUGAAGGAACUAGGCAAAAUGGUGCCGUAACUUCGGGAGAAGGCACGCUGACACGUAGGUGAAGUGAUUUACUCAUGGAGCUGAAGUCAGUCGAAGAUACCAGCUGGCUGCAACUGUUUAUUAAAAACACAGCACUGUGCAAACACGAAAGUGGACGUAUACGGUGUGACGCCUGCCCGGUGCCGGAAGGUUAAUUGAUGGGGUCAGCGCAAGCGAAGCUCCUGAUCGAAGCCCCGGUAAACGGCGGCCGUAACUAUAACGGUCCUAAGGUAGCGAAAUUCCUUGUCGGGUAAGUUCCGACCUGCACGAAUGGCGUAAUGAUGGCCAGGCUGUCUCCACCCGAGACUCAGUGAAAUUGAACUCGCUGUGAAGAUGCAGUGUACCCGCGGCAAGACGGAAAGACCCCGUGAACCUUUACUAUAGCUUGACACUGAACAUUGAGCCUUGAUGUGUAGGAUAGGUGGGAGGCUUUGAAGUGUGGACGCCAGUCUGCAUGGAGCCGACCUUGAAAUACCACCCUUUAAUGUUUGAUGUUCUAACGUGGACCCGUAAUCCGGGUUGCGGACAGUGUCUGGUGGGUAGUUUGACUGGGGCGGUCUCCUCCUAAAGAGUAACGGAGGAGCACGAAGGUUGGCUAAUCCUGGUCGGACAUCAGGAGGUUAGUGCAAUGGCAUAAGCCAGCUUGACUGCGAGCGUGACGGCGCGAGCAGGUGCGAAAGCAGGUCAUAGUGAUCCGGUGGUUCUGAAUGGAAGGGCCAUCGCUCAACGGAUAAAAGGUACUCCGGGGAUAACAGGCUGAUACCGCCCAAGAGUUCAUAUCGACGGCGGUGUUUGGCACCUCGAUGUCGGCUCAUCACAUCCUGGGGCUGAAGUAGGUCCCAAGGGUAUGGCUGUUCGCCAUUUAAAGUGGUACGCGAGCUGGGUUUAGAACGUCGUGAGACAGUUCGGUCCCUAUCUGCCGUGGGCGCUGGAGAACUGAGGGGGGCUGCUCCUAGUACGAGAGGACCGGAGUGGACGCAUCACUGGUGUUCGGGUUGUCAUGCC